GUAUCCAACCAUAGCAGUGCAUUUCUUCCUCGCUGAGCAAGACCAAAAGUCCAGAAAAUGCCAACCUUACAUCAGUGCUACACAGCGUGGGGGGACCUGGGACUCAGUGAUCCUCAUCUUAUGUUGGUGUCAAUAUGCAGCCACCAGAUGGUGCUGGAGGCACUGAGGGAGCUAUGGGGGCCCCAUGACUCAGCAUAGAUACAUGGUCACCACGGGAUCACUUUUCCCUUCAAGCACUGGCUGGACUGGGGAAGUUGAACCCUGUGUUUCUGUUUCCGGUGGGCCAACUGCCUCAACUCACAGAGGACAAGUGAUCUUCAAGGGUAAAGCACCAUCAUCCUGGGAUGUGUUAGACAUCUGGAGUCCAUUCCUGUCACAUUAGACUUCACUUACAAAAU
RNAcentral lists this long non-coding RNA (398 nucleotides) under Heterocephalus glaber (naked mole-rat). RNAcentral's name for it is "lncRNA (ENSHGLG00000049311.1)". Lineage: Eukaryota; Metazoa; Chordata; Mammalia; Rodentia; Bathyergidae. The record is from RNAcentral.